AGAGCAGGUCGGGCGGUCGCUGCUGCGUCUGUGAAGACGUGGCAGAGGAAAGUCCGAACACCGUAGGGCAGCGAGCCCGCUAACGGCGGGGCGUCUGAUGGACGGAGAACUGUCUCGACAGUUUUUCUGACUUCAGGCGACGACAAGUGCAACAGAAAACAAACCAGCCGCCCGCGCCCUGAGCGUGAAGCGGUGAUGGGUGAAAUGGUGCGGCCCCGUUGGGGGCUUAAAGUAAGAGCGCACCGGCGCGUGUGGCAACACACGCGGCCAGGCAAACUCCUCGCGGUGCAAGACCAAAUAGGGAGGCGUCACACAGGGCUGCCCGCCCGAAGCGCGUCGCAAGACGCGCCACGACCUCCGGGUAGGUCGCUCGAUCCAAUUGGCAACAAUUGGGCUAGAUGAAUGAUCGCCACUUCGGCCCACACGGGCGGAAGCACAGAAUUCGGCUUACAGACCUGCUCUCAAU
Molecule: RNase P RNA, 466 nt
Filed under: Pyrinomonadaceae bacterium
Lineage: Bacteria; Pseudomonadati; Acidobacteriota; Blastocatellia; Blastocatellales; Pyrinomonadaceae
Description: RNase P RNA component class A
Rfam family: Bacterial RNase P class A
About the family: Ribonuclease P (RNase P) is a ubiquitous endoribonuclease, found in archaea, bacteria and eukarya as well as chloroplasts and mitochondria. Its best characterised activity is the generation of mature 5'-ends of tRNAs by cleaving the 5'-leader elements of precursor-tRNAs. Cellular RNase Ps are ribonucleoproteins.
Source: RNAcentral